UAGGGAAUCUUCCACAAUGGACGAAAGUCUGAUGGAGCAACGCCGCGUGAGUGAAGAAGGUUUUCGGAUCGUAAAACUCUGUUGUUGGAGAAGAACAGGGACUAGAGUAACUGUUAGUCCUUUGACGGUAUCCAACCAGAAAGCCACGGCUAACUACGUGCCAGCAGCCGCGGUAAUACGUAGGUGGCAAGCGUUGUCCGGAUUUAUUGGGCGUAAAGCGAGCGCAGGCGGUUUCUUAAGUCUGAUGUGAAAGCCUUCGGCUUAACCGAAGAAGUGCAUCAGAUACUGGGAAACUUGAGUGCAGAAAAGGAAAGUGGAACUCCAUGUGUAGCGGUGAAAUGCGUAGAUAUAUGGAAGAACACCAGUGGCGCAGGCGGCUUUCUGGUCUGUAACUGACGCUGAGGCUCGAAAGUAUGGGGAGCGAACAGG
RNAcentral lists this ribosomal RNA (429 nucleotides) under uncultured bacterium. RNAcentral describes it as "bacterial SSU rRNA". It matches the Rfam family "Bacterial small subunit ribosomal RNA", at positions 355 to 776 of the family's 1533-position model. The record is from RNAcentral.